GGUGGGAGCUUAAGUAGCAGUUGAUCCUGAUCCAAUUCCCGAUGCAUGGUUUCUUCAUAUUGACUUUUCGAUGUUGCUCUCUUGGUAAUAUAGGUUUGUCUCUUUCCCAUCUCUAGUGACAAAUUUUCAAUAAAGGUAGGAUCAAAAUCUUAUGUUAGAAAGAAUAAUACAAAAUAUAUUAAAUAUUUAAAAGUUUUAAAUAGAAUAUAUUUUGAUUAUUUUUAUCUGUUAAGUUGCCUCCUUGGAUGUUAAAAGACUACGAAAAUUAUAAACAAUCUAAUAUUCUGAAUUGGAAUGACCUUGAGGACUCCUUCAUACUGUUUGUAGAAGUAGGCAACUACUUGAGUACGCCCACCAUCUGAAUAAUUUUAUGAUCUUCAAGUACCCUUAUUUCUGGUACGUGGCCCCGUCACGUGAUUUCUCUAAGUGUACGACAAAGGAGAAACAUCCACAUAUGGUUGUGAGUUGCAAUAGCAACCUUGAUCUCCAGGAUCUGAGGUACAUUGUUUUCCACUGCAAAUUCCCAUGAAUCUGAUCAUGCAUGUGGAACCCAUUAAGAUCACGUAUCCUACCCAAUCAAAUUCAUAUAUUUUUUUUUGAAGAGAAUAUAUUUUAGAAAAUAAAAACAAAAAAAAGGGUUGCAUGAUAAUAAGAAGUGAGAAUUUUCUUCUAAAUUUUGUUGAUGCCAUUUUAGACUUCAUUGGUGCAAUUUGUCCACUGCCUCUCCAACCUUAUCUUUGCUAGAUGACUUAUCUACUUUCCUCAACAUAGGCUUACAGGUAAAAAUCAACAAAAUCCCCUCAAUACAAUCCUAGACCAAAAAAGAAAGAAAGAGAAUUUCCGAACCUGGAUUGGCUUAAGCAUAUACAACUUUGCAAUGUACAAUUUAAAAGGAAAAAAAAUUAAAAGAAAAUAAAAUAACCUCACCACCCUUAGACCAAUAAGGUUGAUCGACACCAGAGAAAAGAAAAGGAUGUGGAGAGAGUUUGAUCACAUUAACUGAUUGUCUAUAAACACACUCAAUCAUGAAAGAGUUGAAUAUCGACACAGCAGUGUCGAGGACAAAGUCAGUAUAGUUACACUAACCUGGAAUUCUUCAUUGACUCCUUCAACUCCAUCUUUGUUUUUUACUUGGAACCUUCUUUUACCCAGAAGAAGAUGAAGAAGAACGAAUAGAAAAGAAGGUAUUUGGAUGAAGAGUCUGGUUAAUAAAAAAAGGCUAAAAAUGGAAUUGAAGUGUAGCUACACUUACUCAUGGUGAGUUGAAGGACUGUCAUGAUAAAAAUAAGAAAGAAAUCAACUUGACACGACACAAUCUAGAAACGGAAGAUACGGUGAUGAAGACACAGUGGUUGGAGAAAGUCGCGGAGUAAGAGUAGGAAGUAGGGUUAUGUAGAGACAUGGAUUAGAGAGGUUGAGGUUCAUAAAUUUGUAGCAAUGCGUGUGUCGGCCUAUGUAUACGGGCUAUAAACCAUUCCUGACUCAAGUGGUAG
RNAcentral lists this long non-coding RNA (1493 nucleotides) under Vitis vinifera (wine grape). RNAcentral describes it as "long non-coding RNA (VVIN_LNC005671)". The record is from RNAcentral. Lineage: Eukaryota; Viridiplantae; Streptophyta; Magnoliopsida; Vitales; Vitaceae.